Ruditapes philippinarum (Manila clam) is the source of this 548-nucleotide long non-coding RNA. RefSeq lists it as uncharacterized. The transcript is spliced from 3 exons. Lineage: Eukaryota; Metazoa; Mollusca; Bivalvia; Venerida; Veneridae. The record is from RefSeq and is a predicted model, not a curated record.
AUGUCAUGAAACACCAAAGCUGAAAAUAGUUUUGAUAUGUGUCGGAAUCCUUUGUGCCAUUCUUGUUGUGUACGCUACAGUAAUAACGAUCAUGUUUAGACGUAAGACGACGCAUAACAUAAAAGAUGGGACUAAUGUCAGUUGCAGGGGAAGAUGCUAUGAUGAUGCUAAUGCAAAUGAAACUGUAACAGCUGAAGCAGCAACAGAACAAGCAAGAGUUGACGAUGAAUAUCAUCAAUAUACAGAUCUUACUCCCGAUACGAGAGAUGUCGGAGCAACAUAUGAAACUAUUCAACUUGAAUGACUAUUACUAUAAAAUAAGUAUUCAAGAACGUGUUUCGACAAGGUGUUAAGUGUACUCCUUUAUAAUCCAAUAAAUUGUUUAAUCCUUCAGAUUUGAUAUGACAAUGAUACGUCUUUAAUAGGACAUUGUUUUUUAAAAUAUAAUAUACGUUGCGUUGAAAAUUAUGUUAAAACAGCCACCAGGAUUGUGACACACUUCACUAUCAUUUAAAAGUGUCGUAAAAUUAAUUAAUCAUUUCAUAUUA